UACGUAGGGCGCAAGCGUUGUCCGGAAUUAUUGGGCGUAAAGAGCUCGUAGGCGGUUUGUCGCGUCUGUCGUGAAAGCUUGGGGCUUAACCCCAAGUCUGCGGUGGAUACGGGCAGACUAGAGGCAGGUAGGGGAGAUCGGAAUUCCUGGUGUAGCGGUGAAAUGCGCAGAUAUCAGGAGGAACACCGGUGGCGAAGGCGGAUCUCUGGGCCAUUACUGACGCUGAGGAGCGAAAGCGUGGGGAGCGAACAGG
Molecule: ribosomal RNA, 253 nt
Filed under: uncultured bacterium
Lineage: Bacteria
Description: partial 16S ribosomal RNA
Rfam family: Bacterial small subunit ribosomal RNA
Source: RNAcentral